UGGCAGUCAGAGGCGAUGAAGGACGUGCUAAUCUGCGAUAAGCGUCGGUAAGGUGAUAUGAACCGUUAUAACCGGCGAUUUCCGAAUGGGGAAACCCAGUGUGAUUCGUCACACUAUCAUUAACUGAAUCCAUAGGUUAAUGAGGCGAACCGGGGGAACUGAAACAUCUAAGUACCCCGAGGAAAAGAAAUCAACCGAGAUUCCCCCAGUAGCGGCGAGCGAACGGGGAGCAGCCCAGAGCCUGAAUCAGUGUGUGUGUUAGUGGAAGCGUCUGGAAAGGCGUGCGAUACAGGGUGACAGCCCCGUACACAAAAAUGCACAUACUGUGAGCUCGAUGAGUAGGGCGGGACACGUGGUAUCCUGUCUGAAUAUGGGGGGACCAUCCUCCAAGGCUAAAUACUCCUGACUGACCGAUAGUGAACCAGUACCGUGAGGGAAAGGCGAAAAGAACCCCGGCGAGGGGAGUGAAAAAGAACCUGAAACCGUGUACGUACAAGCAGUGGGAGCACGCUUAGGCGUGUGACUGCGUACCUUUUGUAUAAUGGGUCAGCGACUUAUAUUCUGUAGCAAGGUUAACCGAAUAGGGGAGCCGAAGGGAAACCGAGUCUUAACUGGGCGUUAAGUUGCAGGGUAUAGACCCGAAACCCGGUGAUCUAGCCAUGGGCAGGUUGAAGGUUGGGUAACACUAACUGGAGGACCGAACCGACUAAUGUUGAAAAAUUAGCGGAUGACUUGUGGCUGGGGGUGAAAGGCCAAUCAAACCGGGAGAUAGCUGGUUCUCCCCGAAAGCUAUUUAGGUAGCGCCUCGUGAAUUCAUCUCCGGGGGUAGAGCACUGUUUCGGCAAGGGGGUCAUCCCGACUUACCAACCCGAUGCAAACUGCGAAUACCGGAGAAUGUUAUCACGGGAGACACACGGCGGGUGCUAACGUCCGUCGUGAAGAGGGAAACAACCCAGACCGCCAGCUAAGGUCCCAAAGUCAUGGUUAAGUGGGAAACGAUGUGGGAAGGCCCAGACAGCCAGGAUGUUGGCUUAGAAGCAGCCAUCAUUUAAAGAAAGCGUAAUAGCUCACUGGUCGAGUCGGCCUGCGCGGAAGAUGUAACGGGGCUAAACCAUGCACCGAAGCUGCGGCAGCGACGCUUAUGCGUUGUUGGGUAGGGGAGCGUUCUGUAAGCCUGUGAAGGUGUGCUGUGAGGUAUGCUGGAGGUAUCAGAAGUGCGAAUGCUGACAUAAGUAACGAUAAAGCGGGUGAAAAGCCCGCUCGCCGGAAGACCAAGGGUUCCUGUCCAACGUUAAUCGGGGCAGGGUGAGUCGACCCCUAAGGCGAGGCCGAAAGGCGUAGUCGAUGGGAAACAGGUUAAUAUUCCUGUACUUGGUGUUACUGCGAAGGGGGGACGGAGAAGGCUAUGUUGGCCGGGCGACGGUUGUCCCGGUUUAAGCGUGUAGGCUGGUUUUCCAGGCAAAUCCGGAAAAUCAAGGCCGAGGCGUGAUGACGAGGCACUACGGUGCUGAAGCAACAAAUGCCCUGCUUCCAGGAAAAGCCUCUAAGCAUCAGGUAACAUCAAAUCGUACCCCAAACCGACACAGGUGGUCAGGUAGAGAAUACCAAGGCGCUUGAGAGAACUCGGGUGAAGGAACUAGGCAAAAUGGUGCCGUAACUUCGGGAGAAGGCACGCUGAUACGUAGGUGAAGCGACUUGCUCGUGGAGCUGAAAUCAGUCGAAGAUACCAGCUGGCUGCAACUGUUUAUUAAAAACACAGCACUGUGCAAACACGAAAGUGGACGUAUACGGUGUGACGCCUGCCCGGUGCCGGAAGGUUAAUUGAUGGGGUUAGCGCAAGCGAAGCUCUUGAUCGAAGCCCCGGUAAACGGCGGCCGUAACUAUAACGGUCCUAAGGUAGCGAAAUUCCUUGUCGGGUAAGUUCCGACCUGCACGAAUGGCGUAAUGAUGGCCAGGCUGUCUCCACCCGAGACUCAGUGAAAUUGAACUCGCUGUGAAGAUGCAGUGUACCCGCGGCAAGACGGAAAGACCCCGUGAACCUUUACUAUAGCUUGACACUGAACAUUGAGCCUUGAUGUGUAGGAU
Molecule: ribosomal RNA, 2085 nt
Filed under: Shigella flexneri
Lineage: Bacteria; Pseudomonadati; Pseudomonadota; Gammaproteobacteria; Enterobacterales; Enterobacteriaceae
Description: partial 23S ribosomal RNA
Rfam family: Bacterial large subunit ribosomal RNA
Source: RNAcentral